CGCACCUCAGCAGGAAUAGAAGCAUCAGAUUCCUAAUCUGGGAGUCGCGCGUUCGACUAGCGCCGGGAUCACCA
Molecule: transfer RNA, 74 nt
Filed under: Rhizobium ruizarguesonis
Lineage: Bacteria; Pseudomonadati; Pseudomonadota; Alphaproteobacteria; Hyphomicrobiales; Rhizobiaceae
Description: tRNA-Arg
Source: RNAcentral